Coturnix japonica (Japanese quail) is the source of this 632-nucleotide long non-coding RNA. RefSeq lists it as uncharacterized. The record is from RefSeq and is a predicted model, not a curated record. Lineage: Eukaryota; Metazoa; Chordata; Aves; Galliformes; Phasianidae.
UUAGUUGACCUCUAGGGAAAAUGCACUUCUGACAUCUCGAUCAAUCCAGCCUUGCAAUUUUAGCUCUGGCAUGAGAGAAACCAAGGGAAGCUCCAAUGCCACAGCACAGGCUGAGCUCUCACACAGAAUCUGUCCCCUGAGAGAAGAUGGAUGGAUUCUGACCUGCUUGUGUGAUUUCUGCAGCAGCCUUGUUUUCCACAAGGUGACCGGUCCCAGCAUAGGAGAGAGAUGCAAAUGCAGCAGCCAAGCAGCAUGGGGAGAGACACACAGGAAGAGAAUGGAGGAGGAAUAGGAGGAUGAUGGUGCACGAAGCCAUUUUUAAACAGGACAAGACUUCACAGAGAAGUGUGAUUCAGUGGAGCAGGCUGAAAUGAGUGAAGAGCAGAGAAGGAGCAAGACUUCCACUGUGUCACCUGCAGAGCCUCCAUGGGUUGCAAGACUCCAAAGAGCUGCAACAUGAAGUUUCAUGGCAUCCUGAACUUACUGUGGGUCAAAGCUCACAUAAGAAGAUUUGCUCAGCUAUUGGCUCCAAAUGAACCCUCAUUGGAAUGGGCUGGAUGGAGAAGGAACUUCGAGGAAUUGCCCAAGAAAUCUGAAAUGAUGGUUUUGAAAAUAAAUGUGGUGAAAUAUUC